UACGUAGGGGGCAAGCGUUGUCCGGAAUUAUUGGGCGUAAAGAGCGUGUAGGCGGUCCGGUAAGUCGGCUGUGAAAGUCCAGGGCUCAACCCUGGGAUGCCGGUCGAUACUGCCGGACUAGAGUUCGGAAGAGGCGAGUGGAAUUCCCGGUGUAGCGGUGAAAUGCGCAGAUAUCGGGAGGAACACCUAUGGCGAAGGCAGCUCGCUGGGACGUUACUGACGCUGAGGUGCGAGAGCGUGGGGAGCGAACCGG
Molecule: ribosomal RNA, 253 nt
Filed under: uncultured bacterium
Lineage: Bacteria
Description: partial 16S ribosomal RNA
Rfam family: Bacterial small subunit ribosomal RNA
Source: RNAcentral